Non-coding RNA from Callithrix jacchus (white-tufted-ear marmoset), 2284 nucleotides. The record is from RefSeq and is a predicted model, not a curated record. Lineage: Eukaryota; Metazoa; Chordata; Mammalia; Primates; Cebidae.
CUCCUGACUUCAGGUGAUCUGCCUUGACCUCCCAAAGUGCUGGGAUUACAGGCACGAGCCACCGCGCCCAGCCACAUGUGGUAUUCUUAAUUCUUAUACAUCACACUUGAGGUAUGCAACACUCGUUGUUUCUCAACUGUCCUGUACUCCCUUCUCAGACUCUGUUCCAAUAACCUCUGCUGGAAGACAGCAGAUUUUGAAACCCUAUUCCCAUUCCCUUACCAAAGUUGACCAGUCAAGGGGAGAGGAGGUGGUUAUUUGACCUAAACUUGGCUAGCCAAAUUUUUUCUCCUGAAAAUUUGGAAUCAAGUUUGAGAAACUUCAAUAAGUAAAGUGUAAGAGGUGUAAGGCAGAGACUAAUGAUGUAAUGUAGAAUGGAGAUUGAAAGUGCCUUUCUUUUUUUUUUUGAGACGGAGUCUUGGUCUGUCGCCCAGGCUGGAGUGCAGUGGCAUGAUCUCGGCUCACUGCAACCUCUGCCUCCCGGGUUCAAGUGAUUCUCCUGCCUCAGCCUUCCAAGUGGUUUGGGAAUGGUCUGUGAGGCAAAUGCUAUUAUCCUCUCUUGCAGAUGAAGCCCUGAAAUAGAGAAUUGAGCAUUCCAAAGCCACAAAAGAGAGCAGAGAAGGCACUAGGACUAGUGUACUUAUCAGUUCUACUUAAGCUGAGCCCGGAAUCCAUUGUAGAAGAUGCAGUGACUUGAUGGGUUUGCAAUUAUAUCACUAAGGCUUCACUGGUUUAAUUUACUUAGAAUGCACUAUUCAUAAAACACAGGCUCUGCGGGAAAUGGGACUCAAAUGCCUGGAAAAAUGGCACCUUUGAAAAAAUUAGAUUCAAGAAGGGUUUAAAACUAAUCUAGCGGGGUCAAAAUUUAAAGAAAAAAAAUGCAUCAGGCAUUUUACUUAGAUGAAAAUUUUCAUUUCCACGUAAAAUGUAACGAACAAAUGCAAGUUUACCAGUAUUGCCAGCAUCAUAAGAACAGGAAAUAGGCCGUGGUGGGAGGAUUGCUUCAGCCCAGAAAUUUGAGACCAGCCUGGGCAAACAGCAAGACCCCAUCUCUACAAAUAAUUUAAAAAUGAGCUGGGCAUGGUGGCACAUGCUUGGAAGUCUCAGCUACUCAGGAGGCUGAGAUAGGAGGAUCACUUGAGCCAGGGAGAUCAAGGCUGCAGUGAUCCGUGAUCAUGGUACUGCACUCCAGCCUGGGAGACAGAGCAAGGCCACAUCUCAAAAAAAAAAAAAAAAAGUAUACAGAAUAAAUAGCAAAACUUAGAUUCAUGAUCACACACAUAAUUUAAUUUCUACGGAUGAAACAUACAUGGACACUUUCUAUGACUAAAAUAUGGAAUUUGGGCUGGGCACAGAGACUUCUGCCCAUAAUGCCAGCACUUUGAGAGGCCAUGGUGGGAGGAUCACUUGAGGCCAGGAGUUUGACCCUGCAGUAAACUAUGAUGGUGCCACUGCACUCCAGCCUAGGCGACAGAGCGAGACCCUGUCUCUAAAAAAUAAAUACAUAAAUAUGGAAUUUGGAACAAUAAACAUAUUUACUACCAAUCCACCAUAUUCAAGUACAUUCUAUGUUUUACAUUGAGAAGACAUAAAGGAGAACAUUCCCCUGAUUUUGAUCUUAGUCUUCAGUUUAUACAAACUUCCAUGUAAAACAAAACUGGAAACUACCCACUUGAUGUUCUUGACCAACUCUCUGAAUAAUUAUCCACAUUAAUAUUUGUUCAUUUCUUCAUUCAUUAAAUUUUUAAUGAGCCCUCACCAGAUGCCAGACUCUCUGAGGACACAGCAGAGAACAAAGAUAGCCAAAGUCCCUGCUGUCAUGAAACGGAGCUUACACUCAAGUGUGGAAGACAGACAACGCACAAGUAAAUAAGCGUAAGAGGCCACGCUGCUGUUCUCACUCUGUUACCCAGGCUGGAGUGUAGUGGUGUGAUCACAGCUAACUGCAGCCUUGACCUCAUGGGUUCAAGCAGUCCUUCCACCUCAGCCUGCCAUGUAGUUGGGACCACAGUUGCAGCCUGGGAUCCUGAAUGGAGUGUUACCCUCCUCGGAUAUGUGCCAAAACCCUAUCUCCAGGGCAAAUGGACUUCCCAGGCAGAUGAGAAAAAGAUCACAUUACUCAUGUUCAACAUAUUACCUCAGUUACACAAGCAUCGUGGAAUUUUGUGCAUUUGGAUGGAAGACAACUGUUUCUUUAUCUUCUUCCAAUGUCAGGAGUAAGUUCGGUGAUUAUAAGUACAAUAUAUUUUAAGCAGAAUUAGUGUAAUAUGUAACAUGUUUUAUG